AACUUUGCAUUUCGACAGUAGCCCCGAUGUUGAUAGCACAUGGCCGCGCAUCACGUGCAGCCAAUCACAAGAUGUUUGUAUAAAGGACGGAUUGGUGACCAGUUGUCAGCCAGUUGUUUAUUUAGUCGAGCGAUAUGCGUAACGGGCGUGAGUCAGACGCAGGUGUUCAAUUAGGUUAAAACCGAUACGUCAAUGACUAACGGCUAGUAUGCGGAUUACAAUACUUGAGAAAGAGAAUAAAAGAGAAUAAAAUAUGUAGAAAAAUAAAACAAAGAGUAAAAUGCAGACGUAAUAAAAAGUAAAAAGGAGUAGAUUUAAGAGAAAAAAGAUGUGGGCAUAAUAGGUAAAUGUAUUUGUAGGCCUUCGUUACAGUAGAAUUUGAGAUCAGUUGGUGAAGUACGUUUCUUUCAGAUUCCUGCCUCGCCUAACAAACGGUAUCCACUUGACUCAAUUAUUAUUCAGAAAAGAAGAGCACUUUGGUUAGCUUGUUGCCAUAAAGAAAAACCAUGCUACUACGGGGAUAACUAUCAUCCAGAUUGGGCUCAUUCAUUAAUACUGAACCAGUCUCCUUUAUUAUCAGCUGCAACACCUCUUCAUCAAGAAGAAUUUUUUCCAGCUACAAUAGAGAUUUUCAUUUUAAAAUGACUUCAAGUUCAACUCAAUCCAAGAAAACUUAUAUUUCUGACCCUGGUGAUUUUAGUGAAAUUUUAAGAUUUUAAAUCCAUCCGUCGAGAUCGCUAAUGUGUUACUUUUACCAUCUUACUUUUGUUUCUUUGGGUAUUAUUUAGUUGCGAAAUAGUUUCUAUUAUAUCCUAUAAUAUAAAACGUACUAUUCUGCGUUUCACAAAAAGCAUGAAGGUGCAAUCCACAUUCAAUAUAUUCUGGUCUAGAAGCCCCAUUCAUCCAUUGCAUUGGCUUUUCCGUUACAGACAGUUCUCUCUUUUGUGCACUGAUUUAUUCAGCUGAAAUUACACAGCACCUACAUGGCUACAGCAUUCAUUUAGACUGUGAGAAA
Molecule: long non-coding RNA, 1015 nt
Organism: Daphnia magna
Lineage: Eukaryota; Metazoa; Arthropoda; Branchiopoda; Diplostraca; Daphniidae
Exons: 3
Source: RefSeq, a predicted model, not a curated record